AGAGUUUGAUCCUGGCUCAGAGCGAACGCUGGCGGCAGGCUUAACACAUGCAAGUCGAGCGGGCGUAGCAAUACGUCAGCGGCAGACGGGUGAGUAACGCGUGGGAACGUACCUUUUGGUUCGGAACAACACAGGGAAACUUGUGCUAAUACCGGAUAAGCCCUUACGGGGAAAGAUUUAUCGCCGAAAGAUCGGCCCGCGUCUGAUUAGCUAGUUGGUAGGGUAAUGGCCUACCAAGGCGACGAUCAGUAGCUGGUCUGAGAGGAUGAUCAGCCACAUUGGGACUGAGACACGGCCCAAACUCCUACGGGAGGCAGCAGUGGGGAAUAUUGGACAAUGGGGGCAACCCUGAUCCAGCCAUGCCGCGUGAGUGAUGAAGGCCCUAGGGUUGUAAAGCUCUUUUGUGCGGGAAGAUAAUGACGGUACCGCAAGAAUAAGCCCCGGCUAACUUCGUGCCAGCAGCCGCGGUAAUACGAAGGGGGCUAGCGUUGCUCGGAAUCACUGGGCGUAAAGGGUGCGUAGGCGGGUUUUUAAGUCAGGGGUGAAAUCCUGGAGCUCAACUCCAGAACUGCCUUUGAUACUGAAGAUCUUGAGUCCGGGAGAGGUGAGUGGAACUGCGAGUGUAGAGGUGAAAUUCGUAGAUAUUCGCGAACCCGUGGCGAAGGCGNNNNCACUGGCCCGGUACUGACGCUGAGGCACGAAAGCGUGGGGACAAACAGGAUUAGAUACCCUAGUAGUCC
Molecule: ribosomal RNA, 740 nt
Filed under: uncultured bacterium
Lineage: Bacteria
Description: bacterial SSU rRNA
Rfam family: Bacterial small subunit ribosomal RNA
Source: RNAcentral